AAGGAUCAUUACAGAGUAAACUUGGUGGGUUGUUGCUGGCUCUCAUCUGAGUAUGUGCACGCCUGUCAUUUUUAUCUUUCCACCAUGUGCACCCUAUGUAGGUCUUGAAAAGACAAUAAGCCUAACCCUUAUGGGUUACUUGGGAUGUUGCUGUUCUUUUGAACAGCUCUGGCUGUCUUCUCGGAUUCUAUGAUCUAUAUAUACACCUAUGUAUGUCCAAGAACGCUAUUAAUGGGCCCCUAAAGCCUAUAAAUCUAUAAUACAACUUUCAGCAACGGAUCUCUUGGCUCUC
Molecule: unclassified non-coding RNA, 292 nt
Filed under: uncultured fungus
Lineage: Eukaryota; Fungi
Description: partial contains 18S rRNA, ITS1, 5.8S rRNA, ITS2 and 28S rRNA
Source: RNAcentral